This 756-nucleotide ribosomal RNA is filed under the name uncultured Actinomyces sp. RNAcentral describes it as "bacterial SSU rRNA". It matches the Rfam family "Bacterial small subunit ribosomal RNA", at positions 28 to 776 of the family's 1533-position model. The record is from RNAcentral. Lineage: Bacteria; Bacillati; Actinomycetota; Actinomycetes; Actinomycetales; Actinomycetaceae.
GACGAACGCUGGCGGCGUGCUUAACACAUGCAAGUCGAACGAAAAUACCAAGCUUGCUUGGUUGAUUAGUGGCGAACGGGUGAGUAACACGUGAGUAACCUGCCCCUUACUUUCCUGGAUAACUGCUCGAAAGGGUAGCUAAUACGGGAUAUUCUGACUAGCCUGCAUGGGUUGGUUUGGAAAGGUUGUUUUUCUGGUAAGGGAUGGGCUCGCGGCCUAUCAGCUUGUUGGUGGGGUGAUGGCCUACCAAGGCUUUGACGGGUAGCCGGCCUGAGAGGGUGGACGGUCACACUGGGACUGAGAUACGGCCCAGACUCCUACGGGAGGCAGCAGUGGGGAAUAUUGCACAAUGGGCGCAAGCCUGAUGCAGCGACGCCGCGUGAGGGAUGAAGGCCUUCGGGUUGUAAACCUCUUUCGUCAGGGGACAAGGCACUACGUUUUGGUGGUGUUGAGGGUACCUGGAUAAGAAGCGCCGGCUAACUACGUGCCAGCAGCCGCGGUAAUACGUAGGGCGCAAGCGUUGUCCGGAAUUAUUGGGCGUAAAGAGCUCGUAGGCGGCUGGUCGCGUCUGUCGUGAAAACUUCCGGCUCAACCGGGGGCUUGCGGUGGGUACGGGCCGGCUAGAGUGCGGUAGGGGUAACUGGAACUCCUGGUGUAGCGGUGGAAUGCGCAGAUAUCAGGAAGAACACCGAUGGCGAAGGCAGGUUACUGGGCCGUUACUGACGCUGAGGAGCGAAAGCGUGGGGAGCGAACAGG